CCUACGGGUGGCAGCAGUGAGGAAUAUUGGUCAAUGGGCUUACGCCUGAACCAGCCAAGUCGCGUGAGGGAAGACUGCUCUAUGGGUUGUAAACCUCUUUUGUCAGGGACGAAGCACGUGACGGUACCUGACGAAUAAGCCACGGCUAACUACGUUACAGCAGCGGCGGUAAUACGUCGGUGGCACGCGUUAUCCGGAUUUAUGGGGUGUAAAGGGCGGGUAGGCGGGAAUGCAAGUCAGAUGUGAAAACUAUGGGCGCAACCCAUAGCCUGCAUUUGACACUGUAUUUCGUGAGUGCUGGAGAGGCAAGCGGAAUUCCGUGUGUAGCGGUGAAAUGCGUAGAUAUACGGAGGAACACCAGUGGCGAAGGCGGAUUGCUGGACAGUAACUGACGCUGAGGCGCGAAAGCGUGGGGAGCAAACAGGAUUAGAUACCCGUGUAGUC
Molecule: ribosomal RNA, 444 nt
Filed under: uncultured bacterium
Lineage: Bacteria
Description: partial 16S ribosomal RNA
Rfam family: Bacterial small subunit ribosomal RNA
Source: RNAcentral